This is a non-coding RNA of Camellia sinensis, 1287 nucleotides long. The record is from RefSeq and is a predicted model, not a curated record. NCBI's taxonomy places the organism in Eukaryota, Viridiplantae, Streptophyta, Magnoliopsida, Ericales, Theaceae.
UCUCUGUCUCUAUCUGUCUCUCUCUUUCAAGCUGAACUGAUGAUGCAAUGUCGAUCUGGUUGUUGAAAUCAAUCCUAUGAAAUUCUAUGAAUGGUUUUGAUAUUUGAAUGUUGAUGCCCUGUUGUUUGCCAUUGAACAUGUUGAUUGUUUGUUGGUUCAUACUUUGUUUCUAAAAAUAUUUCAUUUUAUGCUGGGCUGGAUUUCAUUUUGUUCUUGUGAAAUAUUUAUUCUCUAGUUGGGGCUGGAUUUUUUUUUUUUUUAAUAUUGAGAUAUGCAGUGGAAUUAGUGUUUUUAGAUAUAUUAAUAUGAAAUAUUAGCAAUUGCAAACAAAAUUUCUCAAGCAAUGAAUUAAAAUGCAAGGAUGAUGGAGUUCAUGAAUAUAUAAUAUGAAACAUGGGCCAUAAUACUCCUACAAAUGUGUUUAAGAGAAAUUGUUCUAACAAUUAGAGGCACCUUUCUAAUACUAUAAUUUAUACAGGCCUACCCUUAUCCAAAAAUAGAUUCACCCAUAGCUUGGUCAGUAGCUGUCUGGUCUCAUUCAAGAGUCUAAUCUCUUUGUGCUGCUGUAUCAAUCAAUACAUGAAUCGUGAAAUGAAUAGUGAACUGAAUCGCGAAUUAUAAGAUUCUAAUACCAGAUUCCUCCACUAUACUUUCCAGAAAUUAAUUGGCUCAAUAAAAUUGGAGCCAUUAGCAGACCUAGUGAAAUGUAAUUGAAGAAAUUUGAUGUGUCUCUGCCCAUUCUGUUUCAGCUGAGUGGAGAUGCCUCCAUCCAAUUUGCUGGAUUUGCCAUGGUUUGCCUUUUUGUUGGCCUCAUUGUUGUGGGAAGAAUUUACCUUGGGAUGCACAGUUUGAUUGAUAUCAUAGGCGGUCUUGCUUUUGGAUUGGCAAUUCUUGCAUUUUGGAUUAGUGUUCAUGAAUACAUUGCGAUUUCAUAGUUUCUGGGCAAAAUGAGACCGAGAGGAUUGAAGGCCAUGGGAAGCAGCAUGGAGAGCGAUUCAGAAUGGCAAUGAAGGAUGGAUGGGAGCUUUCCUUUGGAUUCUUAUUUCUCUUCUUUCUUCUUUUUUCCUCUGAUCUGGCUGGGGGGUUGGGUGUUUUGGUUCACUUUCUUUUUAUUUUUUGUGUUAAAUGGGGGAAGGAGUGGUGAGAGAGAGAGAGAAGAGGGUAAUAUCAUUUUGUGGCUUUGUAUACAAAGUGGUAAAUUUUUGAUUGAGAAUUGUGAAUUCAAUUUUUGGAUAUGUCAUUUUGUGGAUAAUGGUGAUUGAAUAUUAAAUUGAAUGGAAAAGUGAA